RNAcentral lists this transfer RNA (56 nucleotides) under Cecidopsylla schimae. Its description in RNAcentral is "tRNA-Leu". The record is from RNAcentral. Lineage: Eukaryota; Metazoa; Arthropoda; Insecta; Hemiptera; Calophyidae.
AAAUGGCAGAUUUAAUGCAUUAAAUUUAAGAUUUAAAUAUGAUUAUUCUUUUAGUA